This 301-nucleotide ribosomal RNA is filed under the name uncultured bacterium. RNAcentral describes it as "partial 16S ribosomal RNA". It matches the Rfam family "Bacterial small subunit ribosomal RNA", at positions 509 to 809 of the family's 1533-position model. The record is from RNAcentral.
CAGUCGCCGCGGGAAUACGAAGGGGGCUAGCGUUGUUCGGAAUUACUGGGCGUAAAGGGCGCGUAGGCGGCCAUUCAAGUUAGAUGUGAAAGCCCUGGGCUCAACCUAGGAAUUGCAUUUGAUACUGUUUGGCUUGAGUUCGGGAGAGGUGAGUGGAAUUCCCAGUGUAGAGGUGAAAUUCGUAGAUAUUGGGAAGAACACCGGUGGCGAAGGCGGCGACCUGGUCCAUUACUGACGCUGAGGCGCGACAGCGUGGGGAGCAAACAGGAUUAGAUACCCCCGUAGUCCCUGUCUCUUAUAA